Molecule: long non-coding RNA, 4874 nt
Filed under: Capsicum annuum
Lineage: Eukaryota; Viridiplantae; Streptophyta; Magnoliopsida; Solanales; Solanaceae
Description: long non-coding RNA (CANN_LNC012069)
Source: RNAcentral
CCCUAAUAACGUAACCUAAAUAAAAAAGGAUUGCUGAAAUAACUAAGGCAGUAUCCUAAAUAAACUAGGAUUGCUGAAACAAUAAUGCUGACUAAACUACUAACUAAUAACUGGACAAACAUAAAUUAACAAGGGUUACAUUUUGUGCCAAUACGCCCCCUCAAGUUAGACGAUGGGUCACUAAGCCUAACUUGGAAAGAUUUUGCUGAAAAGCAAGUUUAGUCAAUGCCUUGGUGAGAGAGUCUGCUAGUUGAUCAUCACGAUGAAUAAGGACAACCUGAACCUUUUUUACGUUGACAUGGUUGCGAACAAAGUGAAAAUCUACUGCAGCAUGUUUCACAUGACUAUGGAGGACUGAAUUUUUGCUCAAGAAUGUGGCUCCAAGAUUGUCACAAUAAAUGGUGGGCAAUUGAUGUACUGGAAAGUGCAACUCAGCGAGGAGAAUGGUAACCCACAUGGUUUCUGAAAAGGCAUUAUCCACUGCCCUAUACUCGGACUCAAUGGAGGAGCGAGAGACAGUAUUUUGUUUCUUUGAUGACCAGCUAAUGGGAUUGUGUCCAAGGAACAAGAUAUACCCAGAUGUGGAAACUCGGUCUGCAAUGUCCCCACCCCAAUCUGCAUCAGAGUAUACGUGUAGAUUGAAGUCCUCAAUAGGAGUUACACGUAAGCUUAGUUGAAUGGUACCAUGCAGGUAGAACACGUUUCACAGCUUUCCAGUGAAGGUCCGACAGCGCUUGCAUAAACUGGGACAAUUUAUUCACAGCAUAGGCGAUGUCAGGUCUAGUGAAAGAUAGGUAUUGAAGCUUGACUAAGACCCGAUGAUAGCGUGUGGCAUCAGUCAAAUAAGUAUCAUCAGACAGUAUGAGCAAUUCAGUUGCACUCAUUGGCGUGUGAACACUUUUGCAGUCGGUCAUUAACUCAUUAUUUAGGAUCUCAUUCACAUAGUUUGCUUGGGUGAGAAUUAAACCAUUAGAGUUGCAUAUUAUUCAACACAACACCAAGAAAGUAGUGAAGAUUUCCCAAAUCUUUAAUUAAGAAUUUAGAAGCAAGAGAGGUGAUAACCUGAUCGGCACUUGAACUGUUGCUCCCAGUGAUAAUAAUAUCGUCUACAUAGACAAGGAUGAACAUUGUCUCACCUAGACCUUGUCUGAAAAGUAGUGAGGCAUCAGAUUUUAUUUUAACAAAUCCUAUGGAUGAGAGAUAACCUGUGAGAGCAUUGUACCACACCCAAGGGGCUUGGUUCAAUCCAUAAAUUGCCUUGCGUAGACGGCAUAUAUGAGUUAGUUUGUCAGCAUUAGUGAAUCUCAGAGGUUGUUCCAUGUACACCUCCUCUUCUAAGUUUUCUUGAAGGAAUAUAUUGUUGAUUUCCAACUGACAGAGGCGCCAAUUGUGGCAAAGUGCCACAGAGAGGAUGAUUCAAAUAGUAGUAGACUUUACGACUAGGCUGAAAUUCGCAUGGAUGUCAAUGCCCGGCCUCUAAGUGAAUCCUUUCGCAACUAACCUCAUUUUAUAUCUGUCAAUAGACCUAUCUGUAUUCCGUUUGAUCCUAAAAAGCCACGCCACUUACACGACACAAUACUUUUAGUUGGGUUAGGAGGAACAAGUUUUUAAGUCUGGUUUUUAAUUAAAGCAUCAAGUUCCUGUUUCAUUUCUUCACACCACUGGAGAUGUUUUUGUGCUUGUUUGAAAGUAGUGGGUGUGAUGGUGGGGUUCACUUUGGCUAGGUAACCAAAAAUUUGUUUUGGUUUAGUGAUGUUGUUUUGGGAUCGCGUAACAACAUAGGUAGGAGGAGAAGGACACUAAGGUGGUGAAGGAGCAAGCUCCGACGUAGAGAUAGGAUAGGCUGGUCGAUAAUCUAUGGGCGUAGGUGGAAUUGUGUUCCUGCGAUGAUAAAUGAGGAGGGGACGCGGGCUACAUAUUUUGUUUAGUUCACUGUCGGAGUCGGAUUGUAAGUUUGAGUUGGCCUGUAACUCUGCUAGAGAAGGAGAAGAUACAGAUGUUUGGGCAUCUAUUUCUAGAGGAAUUGGAAGCUCUAAAGUUAUGGGAAGUUUGGGCGGGGGAUCAAGAGAAUUUGAAACCAUGAUAUUGUCCCAUUUUAGGUAAGAUGAUUUGAUGGCAAUAUUGGAGAACAUUGUUUUGAAAGGGAAAACAUUCUCAAUAAAUUGCAAGUCUCGAGAUAAAUAUACCUUUGUAGAAAUUGGGUCAAAACAUUGGUGACAAUGAUGAGAUAAGGAAAAUUCGAGAUAGACACACGGGGUAGAUUUUGGUUCAAGUUUAUUUUUGGAGUAUGGUUUAAGCCAGGGAUAGCAUAAACACCCAAAAAUUCGCAGAGAGCUAUAAUCAGGUGAUUUUCCAAGUAGAAGCUGGACUGGGGAUUGGUUAUCUAGUUGAUAGAUGGGCAAACGGUUAAUGAGGUAGACCAUGUGAUGACACGCGAAAGACCAAAAUUAAGGAGGAAGGGAUGCCUUAUGUAAGAGCGUUCUUACAGUUUCGACGAUAUGGUGAUGUCGUCGUUCUGCAAGUGCAACUCAUUGAGGUGUAUAUGGUGAAGUGGGGAGGUGUUCAAUGCCGUGAAGUGAGAGAUAAGGUUCAAUACUUUUAUAUUCUCCUCCACUAUCAGUGUACAGCGAUAAAAUUUUGGUGUCAAAGUGCUUUUCCAUCAUAGGAUGGAAUUUUUGGAAGAUCUCUUUAACCUCACUUUUAUUUUUUAAUGUAUAGAGCCAAGUAUAUUUGGUAUAUUGAUCAAUAAAAAUACAAUAAUACAGUUUCUUGUCAAGAGAUAAGAUUGGUGAUGGCCCCCAUAAAUCACUGAGGAUUAUUUGAAGCGGUUUAGAGUUGCAUAAUGAUAAUUGAGUAAAAGGAUGCCGAUGGGCUUUAUUAGAUAGGCAAGAAUUACAAUAAAAAGGUUUGUCUCACUCAUGAAACAUUAGCGAGAAUUUAUUUAAAAUAAACCUAAGAACUCUAAAGUGGGGAUGACCCAACCUUUGAUGCCAAGUAGUGAGAGGGUGGAUGUGGCGGUCAUGUGAGCUUGGGGAUGUUAGACAGGCCACUCAUACAGUCCAUUAUUGGUCCGGUCAUGCACCAGUGGUUUCCGCAUUUUCAAAUCCUUCACAACAAAGUCAAAGGGAAAAAAUUCAAUGGACAUCGAAUUGUCUUGACAAAAUUUUGAAACAAAGAGAAGUUUGUGUUUAAUAGAUGGGGCACAAAGAGUGUGAGUUAGCUUAAAAAAUUAUUUGGCGCAUUUAAUUGAGUAGAACCAGUGUGAGAGAUGGGAAUUUUGUUACCGUCACCCAUGGAGACAUCCUCGUUACCAUGGUAUGGUUGUAGGUUGUGUGGCUCCGUGGUAAUGUGAUGAGUGGCUCCGGAGUCGACUAUCCAGGGGUUAGUGGCAGCAGUAAGUCCAGCAGCAUAGUUGGCUUUGGCCUCAAAGUGAUUAUGAGACUUCGAACGGCAGACAUUGGCGGUGUGUCCAAUCCUAUAGCAUAGUUGACAUUGAGUAACAGUCUUUGGGUUGGAGUUGGUCUACCACUGUGGUGUAGUGUUAGGAUGUGAAUUAUACUGCCACUGUGGAGAAUUAUUAUUCUUCCAUUGUAGAGAAUUAUUAUUCUGCCGACGACUAUUAUGAUUAUUGGUAUUGGUUUUGGUGGGAGUCGCAACCGCGGCAGUUAUGGGAUUGGAAAGUUUCUUAACAUUCUCAUGACGAAGGAAAAGUUCAUGGUCAAGUAGUUUUUCAAACAAUUCUUCAUAUGAGACAGUCGUAUCACGUGCACGGAUGGCAGCAAAGAUUUCACGAAAUUCAGGACCUAGACCGCUGAGUAUUUUGACGAUGAGUUCAGGAUUUGACACAAGAGAACCAGCCAUGGCUAACUCGUCCAAAGGGGCCGAAUAGUGUGAAGAUAUUCAGUGAUGAAACGAGAUUCCUUAGUGAAGCGAGCAAGUUGAUCACGCAGGCUGAAGACAAGGGUUUAUGAUCUGUUUGCAUAAGUGGUGUGUAGAGCGUCCCAGGACAAUUUGGAUGAAUUGGCUGCAGCAACAGUUGGAGUAAUUGUGGGUUCAACAGAUAUCAUGAGGGCAUUCUGGAUGAGUUGGUCCUAACGGAACCAAGUUAAAAAGGCAAGAUUGUGAGAUACAUUGUUGCCAAUGGUGAGGGUGCGAGUAGGGGCGGGAGUGGUCCCAUCGAGAUGGCCAAAUAGAUUGUAACCAUACAUAAGCAUGGAGAAUUGAGCUUUCUAGGUGGCAAAAUUAUCGCCACCCUGAGUUUGAUGGGUAACUAGGACGCAGGGUUGAAUUGAAUGAUAAUGUUAGCACCUGUUGUGUUAUCAGCGUUAACAACUCUAGGAUUGUUGGCCAUUGCUGAUGAUCUGCGUGAGGAAGAGGAAAAAAAUAGGACCGUUCUCGUUAGAGAGUAUAGAGCCCUGAUACUAUAUAAGCGCAAAGUAACUGCUGAACAGAAUUGUUUAAUAUUGAACGCAGACAACCUUUUAAAUAGAGUUACAAACAAAAUAAUAAGACUCCUAGACCAACCCCAAUAACAUAACCUAAAUAAAAAAGGAUUGCUGAAAUAACUAAGGCAGUAUCCUAAAUAAACUAGGAUUGCUGAAACAAUAAUGCUGACUAAACUACUAACUAAUAACUGGACAAACAUAAAUUAACAAGGGUUACGUUUUGUGCCAAUACAAUUGAGCCUCAAAGACUUAAGGUUUUUAGGUCUAGAAAUCAAGAAAUUAAUACCAAAUUUGAAGAAAUCUUACCUUAGAUUUGUAGCAAAAAUGGAUUACACAAGUUAUUCAAGCUCCUAAUCAACCCACAAGACUCAUUUUUUAGUCAACAAUCUCUCAAUGCUGCUAAAGUUUUCAAAGAAAUGAAAAAUGCCC